AAUCAGCUUUCUUUAAUAUAUACUUAAAACUUAAUUUUUAAGUCAAAAAGCUUAAAUUUUAUUAAGGGACGAGAAGACCCUAUAGAACUUUAUUAAUUUAUUGGACCACAUAAUUUUUUUAUUUACUUUUGUGGUCCACAUCUUUUAAUUGUGUUGGGGUGACAUAGAAAUUUAAUUAACUUUCUUUUUUUAUAUUCAUUGAUUAGUGUAUUUUUAGAUCCAGGUUUAUCUUGAUUAUAAGUUUAAGUUACCUUAGGGAUAACAGCGUAAUUCUUUUGGAGAGUUCUAAUCGAUGAAAGAGUUUGCGACCUCGAUGUUGGAUUAAAAUUAGUAUUGGGAGUAGAAGAUCAAUUACUAGGUCUGUUCGACCUUUAAAUUUUUACA
Molecule: ribosomal RNA, 384 nt
Filed under: Phymata americana coloradensis
Lineage: Eukaryota; Metazoa; Arthropoda; Insecta; Hemiptera; Phymatidae
Description: partial large subunit ribosomal RNA
Rfam family: Bacterial large subunit ribosomal RNA (bases 258-384)
Source: RNAcentral